ACCGAAACUGGUUUAACGGUGCGAAAGCCACACCGCUUUUUCUGGUGUGGUGUGGAUCGGACACCACUCUUUCGGUGC
Non-coding RNA from Ramazzottius varieornatus, 78 nucleotides. Lineage: Eukaryota; Metazoa; Tardigrada; Eutardigrada; Parachela; Ramazzottiidae. The record is from the annotation of a GenBank genome assembly.